UGUCCGGAUUUAUUGGGCGUAAAGCGAGCGCAGGCGGUUUUUUAAGUCUGAUGUGAAAGCCUUCGGCUCAACCGAAGAAGUGCAUCGGAAACUGGGAAACUUGAGUGCAGAAGAGGACAGUGGAACUCCAUGUGUAGCGGUGAAAUGCGUAGAUAUAUGGAAGAACACCAGUGGCGAAGGCGGCUGUCUGGUCUGUAACUGACGCUGAGGCUCGAAAGUAUGGGUAGCAAACAGGAUUAGAUACCCUGGUAGUCCAUACCGUAAACGAUGAAUGCUAAGUGUUGGAGGGUUUCCGCCCUUCAGUGCUGCAGCUAACGCAUUAAGCAUUCCGCCUGGGGAGUACGGCCGCAAGGCUGAAACUCAAAGGAAUUGACGGGGGCCCGCACAAGCGGUGGAGCAUGUGGUUUAAUUCGAAGCUACGCGAAGAACCUUACCAGGUCUUGACAUACUAUGCAAAUCUAAGAGAUUAGACGUUCCCUUCGGGGACAUGGAUACAGGUGGUGCAUGGUUGUCGUCAGCUCGUGUCGUGAGAUGUUGGGUUAAGUCCCGCAACGAGCGCAACCCUUAUUAUCAGUUGCCAGCAUUAAGUUGGGCACUCUGGUGAGACUGCCGGUGACAAACCGGAGGAAGGUGGGGAUGACGUCAAAUCAUCAUGCCCCUUAUGACCUGGGCUACACACGUGCUACAAUGGAUGGUACAACGAGUUGCGAACUCGCGAGAGUAAGCUAAUCUCUUAAAGCCAUUCUCAGUUCGGAUUGUAGGCUGCAACUCGCCUACAUGAAGUCGGAAUCGCUAGUAAUCGCGGAUCAGCAUGCCGCGGUGAAUACGUUCCCGGGCCUUGUACACACCGCCCGUCACACCAUGAGAGUUUGUAACACCCAAAGUCGGUGGGGUAACCUUUUAGGAACCAGCCGCCUAAGGUGGGACAGAUGAUUAGGGUGAAGUCGUAACAAGGGUAAC
RNAcentral lists this ribosomal RNA (960 nucleotides) under unidentified. Its description in RNAcentral is "bacterial SSU rRNA". It matches the Rfam family "Bacterial small subunit ribosomal RNA", at positions 542 to 1501 of the family's 1533-position model. The record is from RNAcentral.